CUGCAACCUUGCUUUUAGCAGCAUGAAGAAGGGGAAGAGAGGAGGCUGUUGUAGGAUGAGCUCCCAGACUUCAUUGAAGCUUUUCCAUGCCCACAGGCUAUGAAUAUUUUUGAAACAUUUUUCUCAUGGCUUGUUUCUAUCUGCCUCCCCCAAAGUCUACAAUAGCUUUUAGUUCUGAUUCAUUGCAAUGUGAUGUAUUCAUUGCAAUGUGAAUAUAUAUAUAUGUACUCACUACAUUUUCCAGUGGAACAAGAGAAGAUGGCAGUAUAGGAAGAGGAAUAGCACGAGUGAAGGACUGGAAGAGGGACAGAUCCCUGCGUGUUUGCACAAUGGACAGUGUAAGGGUAUGGUGAAAGUGCAGGUGAGCAGCAUGGAGUGACUCAUUUCUCUAGAAGAAACCUGGGCCUUGCAUGAAAGGGGCCUUGUAUGAAACGUGGCAGGGUUGUGAAGAGGAGAGAAAUGUGUGGUAUGCAAACCAGGAGGCCAAAGAAGUGCCAAAGAAUGGCAAGGAGGGCCAUUGGUGUGGACCGCAUCUCACAUCAUUUGAAUCAGUAAAGAAAUCCUUAUUGGGUAGCAACAAGAGGAAGAAAGAAUGAGGCACACGUGAUAGCGCUGUCAUGGACACCAUGGGUGCAAAAGUGGAUGAGGAUACUGAGACUCAAAGUGGUGAAGAGACUUAUCCAAUGUCAUAAGCUGGGAGCUAGGGUAUGACCCAAGCAGAACCUGUACACUGGAGCCCAGGAUUACUGACAAAGGACACACCUUCUCUAGCCCCUCCUGGUGGACUUCCUCAGCUACGAAGUGCUAUUAUCAUCUCCUAGAGCUGUGGUGAGAAUUAACUAAAAUAACAUGGAUGAAGCUCUUGCGCGGCACCUGGCACAUGCGGGGCAAAGAACUGUAAGCAGAGACAAAAUGAAAGCCCUCUAGGCCCACAAUUGAUUCUAACGGCUGUGAGGGAAUGAGCUUCAACUACUGUUGAUGGGAGGGACUGUGUGCCAGGCACUGUGCUAGGGACUCUCAUGCAUGAUCUCAUUCAUCUUCUGCAUAACCCAAUGAGGUAUGAUCUACUAUCAAGUGUCUACAUUUGUAUUGGAUUGGUAUGUGUGCCCAACAAAGAAAGUGUCAUUUUUCCUUGGGAAUGAAAUCACAUCAUUUGUGAAGACUUAGUAGAGGCUAAAUGAGUACAAGCAGCAUUUACCUUAUUAAACAGAUAUUUUCAACAUUUAAAACAGUCUGACCAUCAAUGAUGAUGUUCAAAAACAUCUCAAGAUGUUUUAGAGCUAAAGCAAAUGAGAAAAUAUAGUAAAGGGCUGAUUCCUGUGGAUAUUCUGCAAAGGAAAGUAACAUGGUGGAGUGGAAGUGGGAUAAGGUUUGAAGCCAAAAGACCUGGUGGGCUUAAGGUCUCCAUUUAUUGGUUGUGUGACCUUGGAUAAGCCACUUCACCUCCUGGUGAGACUUGGGCAAAAUGGAGAUCAUAUUAAUCACCUCACAGUUUGUUACGCAUUGAGUAAAUGCACAUGUAAGCAUUAUUGACUGUAAAUGAUUAUGCAUAUUUUAAUUAUGGUAUAUCCAAGCCUGAUUUUUCAUCCAGUGCUUACAGUGCCCUGGGCAUAAUACUCAUUCAAUAAACAUUUGUUUGAUGAUAGAGUAAUAAAUGAAUAUGUGAUGCAGAAGUUUUAAAAAUAUUUUUGCUGCUGUCUGACUCAUUUAUAGACAUUUAUAAAAUUGAGGAUUUGUAAGUUGUCCCUGGACAAUCAGAUCUCUUGAUUCAAAGGUGAAAGAUAAUCAUUCAGGUUUUCAAGUUUUUCCUGAUAUGAGACAUUAACUGGCAGGGCUGAUUAUGAGAAAUUGUCAUUAUCCUGCUCAAAUAUAAGAUCAUAGAUUUGGGAAACCUUAGAAAUAAUUACCUUCUUUUCAAAUAUGAGGAAACUGAAGCCCAGAGGCUCUAAGAAAUCAGGGACUUUAUAUAAUUUUUUCAUUUCUCUAGCUCUAGGGUAAUUGUAGAUAGAUAUACAACAAGUAUGUUUUUAAAAGUAUAUUUUUCAAGAAUUAUGCUAAGCACUGGGGAAAUAAACAUUAACAAGACAAAACCCUCCCCUUUGAGGAACUGAUAAUCUAGACAGACAUGAAAACCAGGAAGUGUGCUAUCAGUUAUAUUAAUGUUGUACAGAGUUCUAGUGGCAAGAGGGAACUGCCAAGGGAAAUCUGAGAGGAGGUGUUUACCCUGCGUAAACACCUUGCUGUUUAGCUUGGCAUCCCUAGAAGCAGACCCUGAGGACAGUGGGAAAAUGGAUUAUUAAGGAAGUGCUCCUGAGAGAAACCAGAAAGGGGGUGUAGGGAGCAAGGGAGGAUAAGGAGAAGACUCCAGUAAGGAUGAGAUUACUCAAGUCCCAUGGAAGACAGGUUAGCCUGAUCCUGCAGGGGAGCCCUGGAGGAGUUACUAAUGUGGAGAAAGAAGAUUAUCAUGUGUGGAACGAAGGACAAUAUGAACAUUAAAUAAUGCCCUGACUCAUUCCAAAAAGAAUCUGAGAUGACCAAUAAAGCCAUUUUUAAUUGUUUAUUAGUGAACAAUAGAUUAUGAGUGCUAAAGGGAUUCAGGAAGAAGAAAGAUCAGUGCAGAGUAGAGAAGUCUGAUGGAUGCAUUGAAGAAGCUAUGCUUGAGCUGAAAUGACAAGAGAGCUGUUUUUCGCUUUCAGAAUUAUUAUGUGGCAAUGGUAAUUGACAACAGAGAAGCUGAAGGUAUGAGGACAAGGGUGUCUUAUCUUUCCCCAGAAGUCUUGCUUGGCCCAUGGGAGAAUACAGGCCUGCACCUUGGACUUGGAGUCAGUAGAUUCCUUCCUGUGAUUUUUUACAAGCUCAAACAUCCCCUGACUGAGUCAUUCACCAGAGAAAGAGGCUUUUCAAAUGAUUUGUGCAUUAGCUAUAGUCUGCCUUAUUCAACCCCAUUUUAGUGUCACAAAAGCUUCUUCUUCCUACAUUGUUAGAGCCUUUUUGACUUUUCUGAAACGACAUCUGCUCACCUCUUGGGUAACACCCUGCAGGGCUCAGUCGAGCUCAGUCACCCUUCACUUUUUUUUUUUUUUUUUUGAGCCAGUUUUGUAAGGUGCUGAGGGAGGUUUGUAUUAGUCCUUGUUGCCCCUAGAAGAAAUAACAGCUAUAAUUUUGGCCCCGAAGAAAAGGAACAGGUAUGACUAUUCUCUCUCUUUCUCUCAAACCACAAUCUACUCUAGGGAGGAAGUCACUUUAUGGGAGCAGAGUCACUCUCAAGUAAUAGCUGGCCAUACAGAUUGCUCUGGACCAAGGGUGAAUGUGAAGAAGAAAAGACCGGCCAGCAACACAAUGGAAUAUCUAGAGUCAUAUUGAGGGAAAUACUUAGAUUGCUGAUUUCUUAGUGGAUUUCACAAGCAGAGCUGCUUGUGAGCAGAAUGGUGAAGUAGGGGCAUGUGUUUCUGGGGUCUUAUUCCAUGGCUUCCUUCCACCUACAAGAGUCAUCCUCACGGAGUACUUGCAUUUCAGUAGAAGAAAAAAAUCUUAUAGAUGGAAGGGAAGGAUGGGGUUCCUGCUUUAGGAAGAUUGGCAUGGUCAUAAGUCUGAGCAAGGAAGGGCCCAGGGCAGCUCAGAGCUCUGAGCAGGAAGCUCUAAUUAGUUACUGAAUAUGGUGCAAGCACAAAGAGAGCGUAGUGUUUUCCCUUUCCAUCUGUGGAAGUCUUGGCCAUGCUUACUUGGGCGUUCCUUCCAGGAAACAUUUAUUUUUCCUCUUUAAUGCCCUCCUCAUAUCUAUGCUCUCAGUAGAGGAUGCCACUGCUUCUGGCACCUGGAUAAUAGAAUGAAGCUGAUUGGGAUGGAAACAGAAAAGUCAUCUCUCAGAACAAUGAGCAGAGACUGAAACUCCCUUGUACCCAGUCCCUGUGCACUGCUGUUCAUAGCCAAAUGGGCAAGGCCUUGCCAAAUGUCAUGUUGAGGUGAGGCCCUAAGUGAUAGAAAAAUAAAAAAUGACUAUGGCCACUUGCAUGUUCAGAGAAUUCAGUUUAGAAAAUGCUAUGCUGGGAGGAUCUCUCUUAAUAUCUUGUUUGCAUCAGAAUGUUCAAGUUGCAAUAUAUGUUUUUGUUUUGUGUAUUUAUUUAUUUUCCUCUACUCUAUUCUGUUAAGUCUUUUAGGGCAAAGGUAGGGUAGUCUAUACUCCCUGCGUUAUCCAUAAUGCCUAGCACUGUGUCUUGUACAUAAAAGGUCAUAAUAAAUACCUGUUGGCUAGAUAGAUGAAUGGAUAGAGUGCCUCAUUUAGAAGCAUUAUACUUCUAUGGAAAAAAAUUUUUAAAUGUAUUUUUUUCUAUGAGAUAACACAGUUCCUGAAUAGGUCAUGGGCAGGUGCUAUUCAAGUUUGCGAAGGAAAGGUUUUCCUAGAGUUAGGGUAAUUUUUUCCUCAAAUAAGAAAAACCUACAGUAAAUAAUUACUCUCCAUAUUAUCUUUAGGUUUCUUGCCAGUAUUAACAUCUUUUUUAUUGUAAGUGAUGAUAUUGUCUGUGAGAACAUUACAGUAGGUUAGUAUCCUGGGUUAAGCUAAGUGUUGUUGAAAAUAAUCCUGGACAUCCAAACAGGAAGAGAGGAAGUCAAACUAUUCCUGUUUGCAAAUAACAUGAUUCUAUAUCUAGAAAACCCUGUAAUGUCAGCCCCAAGGCUCUGUGAGAUCAGAGAUAAAUAACCUCAGCAAAGUCAACAUACAAACAUCAGUAGCAUUCCUUAUACAAACAACAUCCAAGCUGAUGGCCAAAUCAGGAUGCAAUCCCAUUCACAAUUGCCCCCCCAAAAAUAUAAAAUACUUAGGAAUACAGCUAACCAGGGAUGUGAAAGAUCUCUAUAAUAAGAAUUACAAAACACUGCUCAAAAAAUCAUAGAUGACACCAAAAAUUGGAAAAAUAAUCCAUGCUCAUGGAUUGGAUGAAUCAAUAUCAUUAAAAUGGCCAUACUGCCCAAAGCAAUUUACAGAUUUCACAGAUUCAGUGCUAUUCCUAUCAAAAUAUCAAUGACAUUUUUCGUGGAAUUAGAAAAAACUAUUUUAAAAUUGACAUGGAACCCAAAAGGGACCCCGAAUAGUCGAGGCAAUCCUAAACAAAAAGAACAAAGCUGGAGGUAUUAUAUUACCCAAUGUCAACAUAUACUACAGGGCUAUAGUAACCAAAAGAGCAUGGUACUGGUACAAAAACAGACACAUAGACCAAUAGAACGUAAUAAAGAGCCCAGAAAUAAUGUCACACCACUUACAACCAUCUGAUCUUCAAUAAAGCUGACAAAAACAAACAAUAGGGAAAAGAUUCCUCAUUCAAUAAAUGGUGCUGGGAUAACUGGCUAGUCAUAUGCAGAAGAUUGAAACUGGACACCCCACCUUACACUACAUACAAAAAUCAGUGUAAGAUGAAUUAAAGGCUUAAAUGUAAAACCUAAAACUAUAAAAACCCUGAAAGAUAACCUAGGAAAUACCAUUCUGGACAUAGAACUUGGCAAAGAUUUCAUGAUGAAGACAACAAAAGCAAUUGCAACAAAAACAAAAAUUGACAAAUGGGAUCUAAUUAAACUGAAGAGCUUCUGAACAAAAAAAGAAACUAUCAACAGAGUAAACAGACAACCUACAGAAUGGGAGAAGAUAUCUGCAAACUAUGCAUCCAACAAAGGUCUAAUAUCCAGAUGCUGUAAGGAACUUAAAUUUAUAAGCAUAAACAAACAACCCCAUUAAAAAGUGGGCAAAGGACAUGAAGAGAUACUUUUCAAAAGAAGACAUAUAUGUGGCCAACAAGCAUAUAAAAAAUGCUCAACAUCACUAAUCAUUAGAGAAAUGCAAAUUAAAACCACAGUGAAAUACCAUCCCACACCAGUCAGAAUGGCUAUUAUUAAAAGUUGAAAAAUAAUAGGUGCUAGCAAUGUUGUGGAGAAAAGGGAACACUUAUACACCACUGAUGGGAAUGUAAAUUAGUUCAGCCACUGUAGAAAGCAGUUGGGUGAUUCCUCAAAGAACUUAAAAAAACAGAGUUACCAUCCAACCUAGCAACCCCAUUAUUGGGUAUAAUCCAAAGGAAUAUAAAUUGUUCUAUCAUAAAGACACAUGCACAUGUAUAUUCAUUGCAGCACUAUUCGCAAUAAGAAAGAUAUGGCAUCACCCUAAAUGCCCAUCAGUGGUAGACUGGAUAAAGAAAAUGUGGUGCAUAUACACCAUGGAAUACUAUGCAGCCAUAAAAAACAAUGAGAUCAUGUCCUGUGAAGCAACAUGGAUGGAUCUGGAAGCCAUUAUCCUAAGCAAACUAACACAAGAACAGAAAACCAAAUAUGGCAUGUUCUUACAAGUGGAAGCUAAACAAUAGGAACACAUGGAUAUUAGAAGGGUAACAGAAGAUAUUGGGGCCUACUUGAGGGUGGAAAGUGGGAGGAAGGAGAGGAUCGGAAAAAUACCUAUUGGGUACUAUGUUUAUUACCUGGAUGAUAAAAUUAUCUGUCACCAAACCCCUGUGACAUGCAGUUUACCUAUAUAACAAACCUGCACAUGUACCCCUGAGCCUAAAAUAAAAGUUUAAAAAAAAAAAAGAAAAUACACCUGGACCCUAUUUUGAAAGACAUACUGUAGACUUGAGGGAGGAAGAGCAGAGGGAUGGAAAGGGCCCCGAAUUACCCACAAGCCAUGUGAAUGCUUAAGCAGUCAUGGACCACAAUUCUCACCACACACACACACACACACACACACACACACACACACACACACACACAGGUCUGAACCCUUACCCCUGUCUACUACUUAUUGGAGCUUGGUAGAAAAAAAGUUGUGAGUGACAGAAAAGUGAGAAAAAGAGAAGAAGAAGAAAAAUUGGAAAGUGUGGAAGAAAAAGUGGCAAAUGCAAGCAGCCCUUAAUGGAACUGUGCUGAAUUGAGAGACAGCAGAAGGUAACAGCUGGCUGGGACUUGGCCAUGAAAGGUGGAAUGUGAGGAGACAAAUGAAAUGGAAAUGCAGGAAAGAAUGGAGUGGCAAAGGAGGCUGGAGAUGGGGCAGAGGAUAGCAAGGGGAGAGAAGGAAGCACAGAAAGGGUGUGGGGGACAGGCCAGAGAGUAGAAGGCUAGAUGGAACUGACUGAUGCCACCAGUCAGAGAUGGAGACCAUUAACAAUGUGUAGGGAAACCCCUGCCUUCCCAAUAAUGAAAAUGCAGGUUUAAUCAGUACCAAGGAACACUGUGAAGUAAGGGCAUUGACUUGGGAAGUGAAAGCCGAAGAUAGAGCAAACCCCAUACGGCAUAUCCUAACUCGCCAUUUUAACAGCAGAAAGACUCGAAAAUACAAAGCAAAGGAUUAUCCAAAGGGCUUUUUAAAAUAAUGCUUAAAAUUUUAAUCUUGUAAAUAUAUUUCCCUUCCCAGUAUGAAAAUAAUUCCGAGUAUAAUCUUUAUUUACUUUCCCCUUUUUAUUUUAGAAGAGUAAACAUAGCUUUAAGAAUUAAAAAAAUCAGUUAAUAAUCUGACUUUUAAGUCAGCUGUAAAAAUGUAAGUUUCUAGCUCUGCCACUUUUUAGUAGUGUGACUUUGGGCAAAUUGCUCAAAAACUCCAAAUUCUUGUUUCUUUACCUACAAAAAAGGGACAAUAAUACAUACCUCCUAUGAUAGUAGAAAAUUACGUGAAAAUAUACUCCAAGUAUCUCAGAGGGCUUGAUUUCCAGAAAGCGCCCAAGCUCAAUCAAUAGUGACGUUUACUAUCCACGCAGCCAGUUCUACUACUGGGAGUUGGUUGGUGCUGAUAAAGCUUUUUGUCAGACUUCUCACAAUUUCCAUUGUGAGAAGAUGUAGCUUCCAAUUAACUCUGUCACUGAUUGUUGGGUAACUUUGGGCCAAAUGCUGUUCCUUAAUGAAUGUGGGUGUGAAACUUAUUAAGAUUAAUGACUGUCACAGCUGUUAGCCAGAUGUUUACAUAAUUCCCUCUGUUUUACAGCAAUCAUAUCAGAGGAAAGGGGUUGAAUGAUAGAAUUAGAAAAAUAAGUACAAUAUUGUGGGAAUGAAUAAAUGUUGUUUUGGAGGGUAGGAGAUUAAAAUCCUAAAUGUAUUUUGAUUAGGCUAAUAUUAAAAAUUAGCAUCUGUAAAUCAGUAAUCUAAUUGAAGGAAUUUUUUAACACAAGUGACUGGUGGAGGGGACACAGCAUGGGAGGGCAUGCUUACAGCAAGAGCUCCAUUGAUUAAAUAGUCCCCUGCAGAACACAGAGAGUUAAAUACGUCUUUAAUAGCCUCCAGCAUGAAAGGGCAAAUCAUUUGUUUUAAUUGAGGAAGGAUAAAAUAUUUUUGCUUUACACAUAUAUGUUCUAUUUUAGCAUCAUAGUUAUUUUUAUAGCUGUUAUAACUUCACAAAACCUAAUAGGAAAAUAAAUCUGAAUCCAGAAGAGUUCAAUACUUUCCAGAGGAGUCUAGUAAAUAAAAACUCUACACUGACUGACUGAUCUUAUUCAUGCACUGCUCCUAAACCCAAACUCUCAAGUGAAGGGAAAAGAGGUUAAUUCGUUGGAAUAAAUUCAUGGGAUUUUUUUUUAAAGACACAUCCUGAAUCAAAGUGAUUAAAACAACAAAUGGAUAAAGGGUAGAGCUGUGAGAGGACAAGGUUUGCAUUACUGAGCAUCUUGAUUAUGUGGGGAAGAUGGGAAACAGAUCUUGCCCAUUCUGGUCUCAAACUACUAAAUCCUGAGAAUGCCAAGAGGCGAGUCACUGAAGUCAGAAGUUGGAAACAUGGCUAAGCUGUCCAGAGUGUGGAACACAUGGUCUCUGAAGGUUUUUAUUAGUGUGUGGGUGAGAGUUCAGAAGCUCUACUAAUUACUUUUGUUUUCAGAAUUUAUAAAGUUAAGACAGAAAGCGGAAUAUUAACACUUCACUUCCUCGUGCAGUCAUUAAUUUACUCACUUAGCAUACAUUUAUUCAUAGAAGCUUAUUGGUACCAAGUAUACCCUCAAUGAGCAACCAACCCAAAAUUGCAAAAGGGAGAUCAAACAGGGAAGCUGUGGUAGGAAGUAUCAUGGCCUCUUCAAAGAUGUCUAUAUACUAAUCACAGAAUUUAUGUAUAUGUGAUGCUGUAUGUCAAGGGAAGAUUAAGGUGUGCAGAUGGAAUUAAGGUUGCUAAUCAGCUGACCUUAAAAUAGGAGUACUAUCUUGGAAUAUCUGGGUGGGCUCAAUGUAAUCACAAAUGUUCUUAACAGAUAGAAGAAGAAGGCAGAGGAGUCAGUGUUGGAGUGAUGCCAUGUGAGAAAGACUCAACUGGCCAUUGCUGGCUUUGAAAAUGGAAGGAGGCAUAAGCCAAGGAAUGAAUGCAGGUGCCUCUAGAACCUGGAAAAAGCAAGGAAACAAAUUCUCCUCUAGAACCUCCAGAAGGAAUGCAUUCCUGCCAACACCUUGAUUUUUAGCUCGGUGAGACCCAUGCUGGACUUCUGACCUGCAGGAUUGCAAGAUAAGAUAUUUGACUUAUUUUAAGAUGCUAAGUUUGCAGUAAUUUGAUAUGGUAGCCAUCGGAAACUAAUACCGAUGCCAAAGCAGUAAAGCAGGAAAGCACUCCAAAAUCACAGGAGUGAGAGGAGCAGAAAUGUCCUAGGAGAAGACAAUGUUUCCUUUUGAAAAGGAAAGUUUACUGGCAACUUCCAUUUGAAUUUCUUAAUUUCUUUCCUCAGUGGCAGUCACUACUUCCAAGGUGGCAGGUUCCAGAGCUGAUUCAUUAUAUAAUCUUUUCUCAGGAGUAUUCUAGCCACCUUUAAAGAAGCUAGGGCCAUUUUCCUGACACUGCAUCAAGGGGUAAGGUUAGUGGUAAAGAAACCAUGCGGUAGGAAAGGCCAACUUUCUCCCUACAUAAUCCAAUCGCAUUAUCUCCAGACUUGCUCACCCUCUGCUCUUUGCAUACUGCAGCUCCAGAGCUUUCAUACCUACAGACUUCCUGGAGUUAAGACUAAAACAAGAGUUGUGCUACAGACUACCGUUCCUAUUAUCAUUUUUUGUGUCCUGCUGAGUCCUCCCCUCUUGGCAACUUCAGGACCACCCACUGGGAAGAUAAUAUACAACCCAUCAGGAAACUCCCAGUGCCCAUCGUGGAGGCCAAGUGCUGCCAACUCUGAUUGCUUCUGGAAUGCCAUUUCUUCCCUGCCCUUUCAAUAUUCUUGUUAUGCGACUCCUAUGAUCACUGCCAAUCUGUAGAAAAUUACAGGAUGAAUUUUUGUGAAGGACUGAAUUUGCAUACUGGUCUUUUGUUGUUUAUUGUUGGGGGGAUUUUGCUUUUUGCACACAAUUUCUGCACAUUUUAUUGGAAGUUAUUGGGUUAGAUUCAUCCCAUUCAUUCACUAGCCUGGCAUUGCUAUGCAUGUGCUGUAGGGGCUUAGCAUUAAACGAUUUUCUUUGUUCAGAUUUGGAUUGCUGUCUCUGCUUGCAAAUUAUUUUUCACAAUGACUCCUUCUUUUCCUUCUCUCUCUCUCUCUUUCUCUCUCUCUCUCUCUCACACACACACACAGACACACACACACACACACACACACACACACACACACACACACAGAUGAGGUUAGAUAUUUUUCCAUUGCCAAGUUCAGGACCCAUGAAUAC
Molecule: long non-coding RNA, 10584 nt
Filed under: Homo sapiens (human)
Lineage: Eukaryota; Metazoa; Chordata; Mammalia; Primates; Hominidae
Description: HSALNT0219949
Source: RNAcentral